Molecule: small RNA, 72 nt
Filed under: Pseudomonas baetica
Lineage: Bacteria; Pseudomonadati; Pseudomonadota; Gammaproteobacteria; Pseudomonadales; Pseudomonadaceae
Description: Pseudomonas sRNA P10
Rfam family: Pseudomonas sRNA P10
Source: RNAcentral
CGUCACCGAUCCCACCGCCUGCCCACUUCCGGGACAUGGCACCAAUCCGAUCGCCAAUGGCUCGCCGAAUGU